Molecule: non-coding RNA, 70 nt
Organism: Salmo salar (Atlantic salmon)
Lineage: Eukaryota; Metazoa; Chordata; Actinopteri; Salmoniformes; Salmonidae
Source: Rfam
UCCCGUGUGGCUCAGUUGGUAGAGCAUGGUGUUUGCAACGCCAGGGUUGUGUGUUCGAUUCCCACGGGGG